UGCCACAUUACUCUUGAGGUGAAAUGCUUACACUUUCAUUUAUAGACCAAAUAAUGUUUAAUAUUUAAUUUUAAAUUAUAAUAUUAAAUCUUAAUCUAACCUAUGGCAUUCAUCAUUUACUGCAAAGACUACUUGGGUAUCUAAUCCUGUUUGUGCUCUGUGCCUUCGUCCUUUAACGUCNGUUUUUACAUAGAGGGCUGCCUUCGCCUUUACCGAGUCCCUUUGGUAUCAUAGAAUUUCAUCUCUCCUCCUCAAGUACUGCCCUCUUACAUAAAACUCUAGUCAAGUACUAACAUUUUAGAAGCUAUAUUGACCGUCUAGGUACCCUUUAAACCUAAUUAAGAUGAAUAACACUAGUCUCUUACGUAUUACCGCGACUGCUGGCACGGAAUUAGUCAAGACACGAUAUAUAUACUGUCAUUAUCAAUAUAUAAACAAAGCUUUAUUCAAUUUAAUACAACCCUAUAGAUCAUAUUCAAAGAUAUGAUCAAAAUAGGGCUUGCCACUUCUCCAAGUUGCCAGUUCAGCCGUUA
This 533-nucleotide ribosomal RNA is filed under the name Trichoderma hunua. RNAcentral's name for it is "partial small subunit ribosomal RNA". Lineage: Eukaryota; Fungi; Ascomycota; Sordariomycetes; Hypocreales; Hypocreaceae. The record is from RNAcentral.